This 274-nucleotide ribosomal RNA is filed under the name uncultured bacterium. Its description in RNAcentral is "partial 16S ribosomal RNA". It matches the Rfam family "Bacterial small subunit ribosomal RNA", at positions 523 to 796 of the family's 1533-position model. The record is from RNAcentral.
AUACAGAGGGUGCGAGCGUUAAUCGGAAUUACUGGGCGUAAAGCGCGCGUAGGCGGCUUAUUAAGUCAGAUGUGAAAUCCCCGGGCUCAACCUGGGAACUGCAUCUGAUACUGGUAAGCUCGAGUUUUGGAGAGGGAAGUAGAAUUUCAGGUGUAGCGGUGAAAUGCAUAGAGAUCUGAAGGAAUACCAGUGGCGAAGGCGACUUCCUGGCCAAAAACUGACGCUGAGGUGCGAAAGCGUGGGUAGCAAACGGGAUUAGAUACCCGGGUAGUCC